UUUUAAUUUUACUACUUUUUAAAAGAAAUUGUCAUGUUUCUGUUUAUGGCUGAGUAGUUCUAAAUGUCAAUCUGGCCAGGAGGUCUUUUGGCCUCAUUGGAGCUGCAGGCUGUAGGGUCUUGUUCUUUAUUUCCCAACCAGCUCUCCAUCGCGGUGCUCGCAGGCAACCACUGUGACGCAGCCUCAUGCCUGAUCGUACAGUCCUUAAUCAGAUGAAAAAGAAAGAGAUCCCUGAAAUAAAUCUGAGUCAGCUGAGAAGACAAGAAAGAUGUCUGAAUCCGAAGUAGCACCCCCCCAGUUGGCAAGGAUGAAACACAGUUUCACUUAUCCCGCCACAAAAAUUUGACAGAAUGGUCAAGGUUGGGAAUCACAGGAAACAAGCAUGCCUCACCUACACACUGAACAAGAAGAGAAGCAAAGGUUGCAGGAACUCCACAGGGACAUACUCAGACAGACGAGCAAAUGCUAGUAAAAAAUUAUCCUCUGGGAUCUCUCUGAGAGAGAGAAAUGGAGCCACUGAAAGCUGGCCCUACGAACUGCUAUAGGGUUUGCAACUGCAUCAACAGUUGUGAAACCGAAAAUGGCUAGCCAACAGAUCUAACUGUAUUAGUCUAAGCACCUUCUUCCUUUUCAUUACCUGGAGAAUAUCUGCUAUAGGAACCACAUCUUGCAUGCAUACACUUAGGCAUAAAUCCAGACUGACAAGAAUCAGGAAGAUCUGAAAUAUCUAGACAACAUGAACAUUUUCUAAGGGAUACUGUGGAAGACUUAGCUGGGUUGCCUUGUGUCUAGUCUGGGCUUCUUGGUAAGACACAGGAAGGCAGCUUUGUUAGAUGUUGGCAUGCCUCUUUCUAUUGCUAAUUAUAAGGACCACAUAACAUACUCCACACUCUUUUCUUUCAACAACCUGCUAAUGUUAGAAAAAAGGUUUUAAUUCACGUAGGAAUAAAAGUCAACAAGCUUUUCA
This 967-nucleotide long non-coding RNA is filed under the name Apteryx owenii (little spotted kiwi). RNAcentral describes it as "lncRNA (ENSAOWG00000015883.1)". Lineage: Eukaryota; Metazoa; Chordata; Aves; Apterygiformes; Apterygidae. The record is from RNAcentral.